GAGGAAUAUUGGGCAAUGCCCGCAAGGGUGACCCAGCAACGCCGCGUGGAGGAUGAAUGUCGUAAGAUUGUAAACUCCUGUUAGAGGGGAAGAAUAGUACCGGUUGGACCGGUAUAUGACUGUACCCUCAGAGAAAGCCCCGGCUAACUACGUGCCAGCAGCCGCGGUAAUACGUAGGGGGCAAGCGUUAUCCGGAUUCACUGGGUUUAAAGGGUGCGUAGGUGGGUAUGUAAGUCAGUGGUGAAAUCCCCGAGCUUAACUUGGGAACUGCCAUUGAUACUAUAUAUCUUGAAUACCGUAGAGGUAAGCGGAAUAUGUCAUGUAGCGGUGAAAUGCUUAGAUAUGACAUGGAACACCAAUUGCGAAGGCAGCUUACUAUGCGGUGAUUGACACUGAGGCACGAAAGCGUGGGUAGCAAACA
RNAcentral lists this ribosomal RNA (421 nucleotides) under uncultured bacterium. RNAcentral's name for it is "bacterial SSU rRNA". It matches the Rfam family "Bacterial small subunit ribosomal RNA", at positions 356 to 774 of the family's 1533-position model. The record is from RNAcentral.